CGAGCAACGCUCAUGUCGAAGAGGCAGUGAAAGAGGCAUCUAAGUGGCUCCAUUUCCUCUCUGUCUUGGCAAGAAAUGGGUUCCUGUUGAAGUUCUUGUUGAUGUGUAUAGCACCCUCAUUAGGCCGUGCCUGGAGCCAGGGAAGUGUGCUGCUGGUGGGCUCAGAAAAGGACAGGGUUCAGAAAAGAACCACCAGAAUGGAGAUUUCUACAUCUUCCAGAUUUACGGAAGCGGUGGGAGCAGGCCAGAGUAAGGGUGAGAGAACGGGCUGUCCAGCUGUCACUUGUGCAUGUAAGAAAAAAUAGAUUAAGAAAUUCCUCUGAUUAAUUCAUUGUAGUGUGAUGUUUGUUUAUAUACUUUACUGUUUUGUAGUAUAUUUUGUAGGUUCUGCAAAUUUCAAUCUUUAAGGUCCGAAUGUUUUGAAACUAAACUAAACUGACUGCCAUACAGUCUACAGUUAAUACAACAUCCACUCUAACUGUCCCACAGACAGAGACAAUAAAACACCAUCAACACGUAAUAAACAUUAAACCAACACAAACAUCAACAACAACAACAUCUCACUGCUGUUGGAAUAAAACGCCAUCUCUGUGGUUUAUUAUGUAGAUGAUUUACAGUAAAUUGGGUAUCUUUGUAAAACCUUAUUGUUUUUGCACCUUUUCCUGCUGACGACUCUGAUGUUACAGGUGUAAGAAUGUGUUUAAGCCCCGCCCACUCCAUAUAAAUGGAGUUUAACAGGACUGUGAAGCUUCCUGUUUGGUACUGAUACGGUAUGUGAUGGUCCUCAUGGCUCUGUUGCUCCGUGUGAUCAGUGUGCUGUCAGUGAGUUUGAGCUCUCAGGCUGGUUUAACUGUAGAAGCAGAACCUGGUGAUGAUGUCACUCUCUGGUGUAAACACAGUCUGACUAAAUCAGCUCAUUUAUUCUGGCUCAAGCAAACAAACAAUUCAGCACCAGUUUAUAUUGCAUGCAAAUAUUAUUCAUUAACAUUAUCCCCUCAUCCCUGUUUCUUCAUCCCUGAGAGUGAGAGGUUAGUGAUGGGAGUGAACUCCACGUUCUCCUCUCUCACUAUAACUGCAGUUACUCUCUCUGACUCAGGACUCUAUUACUGCAGCACACUGAGGGAAAAAUACAUGAUCUUCAGCACCACAACACAUUUACAGAUCAGAGAUGACUGUAGAUCUGAGUUCUUCAUGCUGGUUCUGCUCAGUGCUCUUCUGUUCCUGCUCUUCAUCAUGCUGAAGUACAGAGAACAGCUCAGAGAGGAUUCUAACUCUAAAGUGAAAGAAGAGAAAGAGGAUGGUGAAAUGAUGAACUACGCUGCUCUGCACUUCAAGAAAAACAGGAGAUCACACAGACGAGCAGAAGCAGAAGAUCUACAUGUCGUAUUUUCUUCUGUAGGGCAGUAACGUCCUGUGAGCUACACUGUUAGAUUUACUCCAGACACGUGCAGCAGUGGUUUAAAACCCAUCGUACCUUCAUGAAUAUUUAAAGUAACUCCUUUAAGUUGUGAUUCUGAAGGAAGCUCAUCAACCAUCUCCAGCACCUCAUCUGAAUGAUCAGUUACAGUUUACAGCACUGAUGAAACACCUCUGUUUUACAUGUACAAACACUAGAGGCCAGUGAUGUUUCACUGUUACCCUGUCAACAACCAUCGCAGCCUGUUUAUUCACAACUAGCUGAUUGGAAUCUAUGUGGAAACGUCUUCUCCUGCUGCAAUGAUGACCAUGUCUUACAGUGAGCAGGGCUGAGCUCUUCCAUACUCUGAAUGUAGUGCCUGAUUUGAUGAACCUGCAGAGGUGUGUGUGUGUGUGUGAGUUUAUUUUAUUUCUUGUAUUCAUUAGAUAUGUAUUUAUUCUUCAUUUCUUUUUUUAUUCAGAAAACUUAAAGAUAUUACAGUGAUGUUAGUAAAUGAAAAUGGGCAUACAGAAUGUUGGAACUGCUGAUCCAGCUUUUCCCCAGAGUUCUCCACUAAACCAUGUCCGGUCUGUUUCUGUGGGCAUCACUGUCAAUACAGUAAAUAAAUACAGACUCUAUUAAAUACAGUGUAAAGCUCAUAAUAGACGAGAUGCAGUUAAAAUACUGCCAAAGCGCUGACAGUGCCUUUGUUUAGUGCUUGUUUUGGUCUGUGUCUCCUCCCCUGUCCUUCCUCCUCGUCAUCUGUCUCACCUGUGUAUUGUCUGCAGCCCCGCCCUCUCAGUAGCCCCAGGUGGUUUCGGUUUUCUUCUUAUGUAUUUGUGACCCUGGUUGGUUGUCCCGUGUUUGGGUUUGUUAGGUCCUGUUUUCCCCGUUUGUGCUUUGUUUUCUCUCAGUACUUUAUUAUCAGCGUUUUCUGUAAAUUUGUAUAUUUUGUAGUGAACUUCACUGAAAGAAUUUUUUUUUCUUUUAUCCUGCAUCAUUGCAUCUCUCAAUAUUACAAUUUGGGUGAAUGAUGUAGAUUUUAGUACCAACAUAUUUAUACAGAUGGAAUUUCAUAACGUUCGCCAAAAUAUGCACAACGGCUUAUUUACUCAUCAUUGCUUCUCUAAUACAGCUAAUCUGUCCUCACAGCUCAAUAAAAUGUGGAGAAAUAAUUGAGAAUAUUUAGUUUAUUUUAGACUGGUGGUCUGUCCAGGGUGUUUCCAGCCUUCUGCCCAAUGACUGGUGGGAAACGCUUCAGACCCACUUCCAAUUAGAUUCACAUUUUUUUUCUGUAAUAUCUCUAUAAUUCCUGAAGAUAAUAUUAAAUAAAGAAUACAUUUCUGUUUGUUAUUAUGUUGAAUUAUGUUGAGGUCUUGUAUCUAUUAUAAAUUGUUGACUUUAGAUAGAGGAUAAAUGAGGUUUUUCAUUUUUAUUAUUGAUGUCAAUUGUUUUUAUAGGUCAAUAUGUGCUGAAAUAAAGAAAGAAUUGUUUUUA
This is an RNA transcript of Pygocentrus nattereri (red-bellied piranha), 2893 nucleotides long. RefSeq lists it as uncharacterized. The transcript has 7 exons. The record is from RefSeq and is a predicted model, not a curated record. NCBI's taxonomy places the organism in Eukaryota, Metazoa, Chordata, Actinopteri, Characiformes, Serrasalmidae.